RNAcentral lists this ribosomal RNA (1476 nucleotides) under metagenome. RNAcentral describes it as "bacterial SSU rRNA". It matches the Rfam family "Bacterial small subunit ribosomal RNA". The record is from RNAcentral.
AGAGUUUGAUCCUGGCUCAGGAUGAACGCUAGCGGGAGGCUUAACACAUGCAAGUCGAGGGGUAUUCAGUUUUCGGACUGGAGAGACCGGCGCACGGGUGAGUAACGCGUAUGCAACCUGCCCAUAACAGAGGGAUAGCUCCCGGAAACGGGAAUUAAUACCUCAUAAUAUCUUGAUAUCUCAUGGUAUCGGGAUUAAAACUCAGGUGGUUAUGGAUGGGCAUGCGUGACAUUAGCCAGUUGGUAGGGUAACGGCCUACCAAGGCAACGAUGUCUAGGGGGUCUGAGAGGAUGAUCCCCCACACUGGUACUGAGACACGGACCAGACUCCUACGGGAGGCAGCAGUGAGGAAUAUUGGUCAAUGGGCGCAAGCCUGAACCAGCCAUCCCGCGUGAAGGAUGACGGCCCUAGUGGUUGUAAACUUCUUUUCUAUAGGAAGAACCCUCCGACGUGUCGGAGCUUGACUGUACUAUAGGAAUAAGCAUCGGCUAACUCCGUGCCAGCAGCCGCGGUAAUACGGAGGAUGCAAGCGUUAUCCGGAUUUAUUGGGUUUAAAGGGUGCGUAGGCGGAUUGAUAAGUCAGUGGUGAAAGCCUGCAGCUUAACUGUAGAAUUGCCAUUGAUACUGUUAGUCUUGAGUGAAGUUGAGGUAGGCGGAAUGUGUAAUGUAGCGGUGAAAUGCUUAGAUAUUACACAGAACACCGAUUGCGAAGGCAGCUUACUAAGCUAUAACUGACGCUGAGGCACGAAAGCGUGGGGAUCGAACAGGAUUAGAUACCCUGGUAGUCCACGCCGUAAACGAUGAUUACUUGUUGUUGGCAAUACAUAGUCAGUGACAAAGCGAAAGCAUUAAGUAAUCCACCUGGGGAGUACGCCGGCAACGGUGAAAUUCAAAGGAAUUGACGGGGGCCCGCACAAGCGGUGGAACAUGUGGUUUAAUUCGAUGAUACGCGAGGAACCUUACCUGGGCUUAAAUGUAGACUGCAUUUUCGAGAAAUCGAGAUUUCCUUCGGGACUGUUUACAAGGUGCUGCAUGGUUGUCGUCAGCUCGUGCCGUGAGGUGUCGGAUUAAGUUCCAUAACGAGCGCAACCCUUAUCAUUAGUUGCCAUCAGUUCGGCUGGGGACUCUAAUGAAACUGCCGGUGUAAACCGUGAGGAAGGUGGGGAUGACGUCAAAUCAGCACGGCCCUUAUGUCCAGGGCUACACACGUGUUACAAUGGCCAGUACAAAGGGCAGCUACCUCGUGAGAGGAUGCUAAUCUCCAAAACUGGUCCAAGUUCGGAUCGAAGUCUGCAACUCGACUUCGUGAAGCUGGAAUCGCUAGUAAUCGCGCAUCAGCCACGGCGCGGUGAAUACGUUCCCGGGCCUUGUACACACCGCCCGUCAAGCCAUGGGAGUUUUGGGUACCUGAAGUUCGUAACCGCAAGGAGCGACCUAGGGUAAACAGAGUGACUGGGGCUAAGUCGUAACAAGGUA